Molecule: ribosomal RNA, 833 nt
Filed under: uncultured crenarchaeote
Lineage: Archaea; Thermoproteati; Thermoproteota
Description: bacterial SSU rRNA
Rfam family: Archaeal small subunit ribosomal RNA
Source: RNAcentral
ACGGCUCAGUAACACGUAGUCAACAUGCCCAGGGGACGUGGAUAACCUCGGGAAACUGAGGAUAAACCACGAUAAGUCACUACUUCUGGAAUGGGUAAUGACUCAAAUCUACAUGGCCCCUGGAUUGGACUGCGGCCGAUCAGGCUGUUGGUGAGGUAAUGGCCCACCAAACCUGUAACCGGUACGGGCUCUGAGAGGAGGAGCCCGGAGAUGGGCACUGAGACAAGGGCCCAGGCCCUAUGGGGCGCAGCAGGCGCGAAACCUCUGCAAUAGGCGAAAGCCUGACAGGGUUACUCUGAGUGAUUUCCGUUAAGGAGAUCUUUUGGCACCUCUAAAAAUGGUGCAGAAUAAGGGGUGGGCAAGUCUGGUGUCAGCCGCCGCGGUAAUACCAGCACCCCGAGUGGUCGGGACGUUUAUUGGGCCUAAAGCAUCCGUAGCCGGUUCUACAAGUCUUCCGUUAAAUCCACCUGCUUAACAGAUGGGCUGCGGAAGAUACUAUAGAGCUAGGAGGCGGGAGAGGCAAGCGGUACUCGAUGGGUAGGGGUAAAAUCCGUUGAUCCAUUGAAGACCACCAGUGGCGAAGGCGGCUUGCCAGAACGCGCUCGACGGUGAGGGAUGAAAGCUGGGGGAGCAAACCGGAUUAGAUACCCGGGUAGUCCCAGCUGUAAACGAUGCAGACUCGGUGAUGAGUUGGCUUUAUGCCAACUCAGUGCCGCAGGGAAGCCGUUAAGUUUGCCGCCUGGGGAGUACGGUCGCAAGACUGAAACUUAAAGGAAUUGGCGGGGGAGCACCACAAGGGGUGAAGCCUGCGGUUCAAUUGGAGUCAACGCCGG